GACAGAGGGUGCAAACGUUGUUCGGAAUUACUGGGCGUAAAGCGCGUGUAGGCGGUUGUUCAAGUCAGGUGUGAAAGCCUUGAGCUCAACUCAAGAAAUGCACUUGAUACUGGAUGACUAGAGGACCGGAGAGGAUAGUGGAAUUCCCAGUGUAGUGGUGAAAUACGUAGAGAUUGGGAAGAACACCAGUGGCGAAGGCGGCUAUCUGGACGGUUUCUGACGCUAAGACGCGAAAGCGUGGGGAGCAAACAGG
Molecule: ribosomal RNA, 253 nt
Filed under: uncultured bacterium
Lineage: Bacteria
Description: partial 16S ribosomal RNA
Rfam family: Bacterial small subunit ribosomal RNA
Source: RNAcentral